GCCUUUGUAGUCUAGUGGUUAUCAUUCCUGUCUAUUUGACUGAUGGAGACGGAGCGUUUGAUUCCUCCCAAGGGCA
Mycena floridula is the source of this 76-nucleotide non-coding RNA. The record is from the annotation of a GenBank genome assembly. Lineage: Eukaryota; Fungi; Basidiomycota; Agaricomycetes; Agaricales; Mycenaceae.